Molecule: RNA transcript, 2522 nt
Organism: Eucalyptus grandis
Lineage: Eukaryota; Viridiplantae; Streptophyta; Magnoliopsida; Myrtales; Myrtaceae
Gene name: F-box protein At2g32560
Exons: 6
Source: RefSeq, a predicted model, not a curated record
AGGAAAGAAAUGAACUCACGUCACGGCACAAGAAAGAGAGAGCAAGUUUUCGUCCUCCCUAUUCAUUUGCUCUCUCUCCGUUCAUCUUUUUUCAGGCUUAUCAUUCACGCCUAACUUUGAUAUCUGACCCUACAAGGGCGGGCAUUUCAUUCAACCUCCUCUGUGAUGCUCUCUCGCUGCUUGAUCACCUCCUCCCUCUCCUUCCUCUUCCUGUUAUUGGAGUCCCACCCUCUCAAGAUUCUCUCCUCGUGGACAUGCGCCUGCGCCUCUCUCUUCCGCAGUCGCCACCCUAGUCCCAGUCAUAGUCCAGUUCAACCCCCGAGAUUGUCGUCCUUGAAGGAGAAGAUGAGUCCAGCUCCAGAACCAGGCAAUGCAGAGGAGUCCCAAGGAGGAGCGCCGUCGCUGCUCGACUUGCCGGAGCUCGCUCUGGAAUACAUUCUCGAGAAGCUCCCCCCAGAGGGGCUCUUGAGCAUGUCUGGGGUGUGCACAGCUUUGAGAGAUAGGUGCAGGAGCGACUAUUUCUGGGACAAGCACAUGAAGCGGAAGUGGGACAGAGUGAUUGGUCCAUCAGCUUAUAAGGUGUGGCAAUUGUGCCUUUCUCCUAGAAGGGAUAACGGUGAUUCGAAUCAGGGGAAGCAGAAGGGGUUGCUGAGGUUGUUUUCUCUUGUUUGGCCCUGUUCAUGGGCUGGUGAGAGGAUCAAUAUCGGUCAAGACCAGACAUGCUCUCUGCCUUAUGAUUCAUCGGUCAUGUCUUGGUAUAUUGCCCUUGAGACUGGGAGGUUCUGGUUCCCUGCUCAAGUCUAUAAUCGCGAGAAUGGGCAUGCUGGGUUUUUGUUGUCUUGCUAUGAUGCUGAGCUCAGCUAUGAUUUUCGAACCGACACCUUCAGAGCCAGGUACCCCCCACAUGGCAGGAGGGCGAUGGCGCUGGAGACCGGGGUGACGUGGGAAAGGCUGAGGUCCCCUCAGGUCGAUACUUCUCCACACGACCUUCACUUGUCUGAUUGUUUGAAGGAUCUCUGCCCCGGUGACCACGUCGAGAUUCAGUGGAGAAGAAACAAAGAGUUUCCAUAUGGUUGGUGGUACGGCGUCGUCGGUCAUCUGGAAUCAUGUAACAGGAACGAAAGUUACUGUCGUUGUUCUAGCAGCGGUGCUGUGGUUCUGGAAUUCAAUCAGUAUUCAGCAGGGUCACCGUGGAGCCGCACAACCAUAGACAGGAGAAACCACAGGGAGGAAGGAAAUGAGGUGGACGGAUUUUAUGGAGGAAUCAGAAAGCUCAGGACCGACGACGAGAUUUCCGCAUGGAAGCGGCUCUGGCCAACUGAGCUAUUAGAAUAGGCUAUGAUCCCAACAGCCUGCUUUGAGCGCAGGGCGAGGAUAAAUUUGGAACAGUUUCCCAUUCAAGAGGAGCUCUGUUGAAUCUUUCACCAGGCGAAAGUGGCUGGAUAGAAGCUGAUACUCAGUCGGUUGGAUGAAUAUGAUAUGGCAUAUACAAAUGAAGGUGUCAAAUGUGACUUUUGCCUACUCUUUGAACAUCUGCUUGUUUCAAUCCUAGAAACACGAAUCAACCUAGCAAUAAUUGAACCAAAAGAAAUAGAUGAACGGUAGGGGAAGUGAAGCUUGAGCAGAUAUAAUUGAUGAAAGGCGAUAGUACCUCUCGUUCCUCCACUGUAAUGGCUGGGCUUUUCAUACAUUGACAGGAGAAAAAUACCUCUGAGAACAGUUCGUGGCGAGGGAAGUAAUGCGUUUUUGUCGAAUCAACAACUGUACGGUGUUCCUACUGAACAGGAGACGAUGUUUACCUUGAACUGAGGUGCGAUUGACAACACCAAAGAGCACAUUCAAGAUGACCAUGGAUUCGCCCAGAGUGCUCCUGAAAAGCCUCACAGAAACUUCACUUCACAUGCAUGGAGGUUUUGACCCCAUAGCCCAAGCAAAGCAGCAUUCUGGGUGGUAGCGGACAAGCGUCAUCCGACCUGCCGUGCUCACUUCUUUGCCCUCGCUGCACUGGCCUGAUGGCUUCGACCCGGCUGACCCAAAGCUCAAUCUUCUCAAAAUGUUUGGUUUCCUCACCGCUUCAGCUGACGGAGAAUCUCCCCUCUUCUCUUUUGUCCAGAGCUCUCUCCCCAUGGACGUGCUCCUUAGGAGGAACUUCUUUAUCCUCUGCCUAUUAGAUUGUCUUGUGAAUCUAGCAGACCCUCCAUUUUCUUCCCCCUGAUCUCUUGUGCUUAUGACUUCAGGUCCUGAGAGAGCGGUGAAGGCUGGCUUGCAUGGACUUGCAUGGUUGUCCAUCUUCACUAGCCUCACUCUCCUUGCAAAUUCCACUCCCCUUGGCUCUGCCAAUGCCAGCUUCCUUUGCCUCUGCGAGGUACAGAAUCAAUUUCUCCACGUUACUUCAGAGGCAGUAAGGAUAUUGGCUUAUGUAGUGGUGAAUGAAAAUCACAUUCGAAGCUAAAAUAGUCUGACACGACAAGGAAUUCCAAAUGAAAGUCGAUCCAUUUAUGCAAACUGAAUGUUUUUAAUCA